GAGGGGGCGCUUAUUUAAUUUUUCCCAAAUCGUGGUCAGUUAUGAUCGGUUUCUUUUUGCAAUGUAUGUAUGUGUCACUCCCUCAGAAGUCUCAGAAGGAUCCUGUCUCUCUUGAAGAACUACAUAAUAUAACCCCUUUAGCCGGUCUAGACCUACUGCAUAAGGUUGUUGGGCUUUAGGCGAUAUAUCAGCCGAUCUUUACUGCCAUCCUUUGCGACGGUCAAUGUGCAGUGCUUGAAUGAGUCGGUAACCAUUUACUUAUGAUUGAAAAUGACCAAGAGGCCAUGACCUCAUUUUCUCUUGAAAUGACCAAGGCUGUACAUCCUUUCUUGUCUUAGUACUUUUCCGUAGGGGGAGGGGAAGGGGGCGAUUCUUCGAGGGGAGGCGCUUACUUUAAAUUUUGGCCUAUAGGAGAGGCGCUCAUUUGAAGGGGACGCCUAUUUGGGGGGAGGCGCUAAUUCGAGGAUUUACGGUAUGUCAGUUAUGGUAAAACUACAAUAGGUUGCUAUCUUGAAAGGAAAUAUCAAAAGCGGCAGAUUGACUUGAUGAAUGUACCAUCAAGGGGUUCUCAAAAUUCCAUUAUUUCUACUCAGUUACUGCAGAACGAAGUUUUAACUCUCGCUCCGUCAUCUUAUUACGUUUUAAUGACGUCAUAACGUCGCCAUCUCAGAUCCGUUUCCCGGCAACCUCGUCCCCAGGGCCUUCUCCUGGAGAUUUUCAAAAUGGCGGCUCAGCCGCCCGCCAUUCUGAAAAGACGCGGUUGAGUUUCCCGGUUGAAAGCAUCGUCAUUCUGGACAAAAUGCAAGCUAAGCCAAACAUGAAGGGGUAUCUUGAAGUGUACAUGGAUGGAAUACCUGAGAGGGCAUUGCACUAGCCAGAUACAAAGAUAGAAGAAAAGAAAGAAGAACGACAUCAAAUAUAGACAUUGGAUCCCAUACUCGGCUGCCAUCUCCAGUGUACAUCACCCGGCAUCAGCAUUAACAUGGAGAAAGAAGCAAAGGAAACCAAACUGCGUCAUUUAGAUGUUUCAUCAGUGGAUCAUGUAUCAUAAACGAGGUAGACUUAGAUUUAUCACGAUAGGUUUUCUUGCUACAAGACUGUAUUUCACAAAACUCUAGAGCCCAAAGAAAUUAUCGGAGCUUUUGUGACUAUUUCACGGGUUUAGUAAAAUCUUGUUAGUUUUCGAGCAAGCAGUGGAUUGAAUUACAAGUCCGUCGCUUUGAACGCAAUAUAGCUGAUAUUCGUUUAUCUCGAUUAAUUUUUUGCGAUAAGAUUUUUCAAGCCUGGUAGGCUUGUCAGCUUUUUCACGAAACCCGUUAAACUAAAUUCAGUAAUCUUUAUUAAGUCAAACAACUCAACGAAAUUACUGUAUAAUUGUCUAGAAUCAAUUUCACGAAUUUAAUAAAAUCUUACCUGUUUUCAA
Molecule: long non-coding RNA, 1423 nt
Filed under: Orbicella faveolata
Lineage: Eukaryota; Metazoa; Cnidaria; Anthozoa; Scleractinia; Merulinidae
Description: uncharacterized LOC110049055, transcript variant X1
Source: RNAcentral